AGUGAACGCUGGCGGUAGGCCUAACACAUGCGAGUCGAACGGCAGCACAGUAAGAGCUUGCUCUUACGGGUGGCGAGUGGCGGACGGGUGAGGAAUACAUCUGAAUCUACUUUUUCGUGGGGGAUAACGUAGGGAAACUUACGCUAAUACCGCAUACGACCUACGGGUGAAAGCAGGGGAUCUUCGGACCUUGCGCGAUUGAAUGAGCCGAUGUCGGAUUAGCUAGUUGGCGGGGUAAAGGCCCACCAAGGCGACGAUCCGUAGCUGGUCUGAGAGGAUGAUCGGCCACACUGGAACUGAGACACGGUCCAGACUCCUACGGGAGGCAGCAGUGGGGAAUAUUGGACAAUGGGCGCAAGCCUGAUCCAGCCAUACCGCGUGGGUGAAGAAGGCCUUCGGGUUGUAAAGCCCUUUUGUUGGGAAAGAAAAGCAGCAGGUUAAUACCCCGCUGUUCUGACGGUACCCAAAGAAUAAGCACCGGCUAACUUCGUG
Molecule: ribosomal RNA, 492 nt
Filed under: uncultured bacterium
Lineage: Bacteria
Description: partial 16S ribosomal RNA
Rfam family: Bacterial small subunit ribosomal RNA
Source: RNAcentral